Molecule: ribosomal RNA, 2142 nt
Filed under: Dawsoniolithon conicum
Lineage: Eukaryota; Rhodophyta; Florideophyceae; Corallinales; Porolithaceae
Description: partial large subunit ribosomal RNA
Rfam family: Eukaryotic large subunit ribosomal RNA
Source: RNAcentral
CCAAGGAGUUUAGCAUUAAUGCGAGUCGAAGAGUGAUAAACUCAGAGGCGCAGUGAAAGCGAACAUUUGGAAACCUUAACAGGUUGAGGAGGUGUUGCGUCGUUGACAAAACAUCCUACCUAGAGCAUUAAUGCUGAGACCCGAAAGAUGGUGAACUAUGCCGGAGUAGGGCAAAGCCAGAGGAAACUCUGGUGGAGGCUCGUAGCGAUGCUGACGUGCAAAUCGCUCGUCGAACUUGGGUAUAGGGGCGAAAGACUAAUCGAACCAUCUAGUAGCUGGUUCCCUCCGAAGUUUCUCUCAGGAUAGCGGGCCGACAGUGGGUUGUUUUGUGUGGUAAAGCGAAUGAUUAGCGUAUUUGGGGUCGUAAUGUCUUCGGUCGAUUCUCAAACUUUAAAUACGCAAGAUAGAGAUGGUUGCUUAAGUGAACCUCUCUACUGAAAACGUCGGCCCUGUGGGCCACUUUUGGUAAGCAGAACUGGCGAUAUGGGAUGAACCAUAAGUUUGGUUAAGGCGUCAAAAUAUCCGCUUAUAGAUCCCACAAAAGGUGUUGGUUCAUCUAGACAGCAGGACGGUGGCCAUGGAAGUCGGNNNNCGCUAAGGAGUGUGUAACAACUCACCUGCCGAAUGAACUAGCCCUGAAAAUGGAUGACGCUUAAGCGGAUUGCCGACACCAGACCGUUUUGGUAAGAAGCGACCAGAAUGAGUAGGAGGGCGUGGCGGUUUUGUUGAGAAGGAUGAGACGCAAGUCUAUCUGAAACGGCCGCUAGUGCAGAUCUUGGUGGUAGUAGCAAAUAUUCAAGCGAGAUCCUUGAAGGGCGAAGCGGGGAAGGGUUCCACGCGAACAUUGAUUGGGCGUGGGUGAGUCGUUCCUAAGCCGGGUGGUAAUCGUUCUUCGAUCGGCGAAAGGGAAGCGGGUUAAAAUUCUCGCACACGGAUGUGGAGGCGGUGACGCAAAUUGAGGUGGAGACGUUAGCGAUGGCACUGGGCAGAGUUGUCUUUUCUGUUUAACCUGUGAGUGCACUCUGUGGAAUCCGAUUAUCGGGAGAAACAGGUGCUUAUGGGAAGAGCGUCGGGGCGUCCCCGGCGUCCAGUACGCCAUCGAUAGCCCCUGAAAAUCCAUCUGCAAUGAAAUUUCACGCCGUGGCGUACCGAUAACCGCAUCAGGUCCCCAAGGUGAACAGCCUCUGCUCAAUAUGAACAAUGCAGGUAAGGGAAGUCGGCAAAAUAGACCCGUAACUUUGGGAAAAGGGUUGGCUCUAGUGGGGUGGAGGAUUUUACUGGAUCAUUGGGAUUUGGUGUUGUCGGUCGGGCGGAGUUAACUGUGGCAACACGGUUUCGGCUCUUCCUGAUCGCUUCGCUGAGUUCGGAUGGUCCGACCUCCAGCAUGCUCCAAACUAGAACUGCAACGGGCAAAGGGAAUCCGACUGUUUAAUAAAACAAAGCAUGNNNNNNNNNNNNNNNNNNNNNNNNNNNNNNNNNNNNNNNNNNNNNNNNNNNNNGUCAAAGUGAAGAGAUUCAAACAAGCGCGGGUAAACAGCGGGAGUAACUAUGACUCUCUUAAGGUAGCCAAAUGCCUCGUCAUCUAAUUAGUGACGCGCAUGAAUGGAUUAACGAGAUUCCUACUGUCCCUAUCUGCUUCUAGCGAAACCACAGCCGAGGGAACGGGCUCGGCGAAAUCGGCGGGGAAAGAAGACCCUGUUGAGCUUGACUCUAUUCUAAUUUUGUGACGCAAGUUAGGAGGUGUAGCAUAGGUGGGAGUCGCAAGACGCCAAUGAAAUACCACUACUCUUAAUCUUGUUUUACUUAUGGCAUUAGACUGCACGAUCUUUACGGUCUAUUUUAGCAUCAACUUGGAUAAUGGCAUAUGCUCGUCAGAGUAAUGUCCCCUUGGAGCAGCGUGCCUGACAUAUUUAGGAGGGGAGUUUGGCUGGGGCGGCACAUCUUCUACAAGACAACGAAGGUGUCCAAAGAUAAGCUCAGUGAGAACAGAAAUCUCACGUAGCGCAAAAGGGUAAAAGCUUGUUUGAUUUCGAUUUUCAGUGUGAGUUGAAAACGCGAAAGCGUGGCCUAUCGAUCCUUUCACAAUUCGAGGUUUGAAGCGAGAGGUGUCAGAAAAGUUACCACAGGGAUAACUGGCUUGUG